Molecule: long non-coding RNA, 896 nt
Organism: Balaenoptera acutorostrata (minke whale)
Lineage: Eukaryota; Metazoa; Chordata; Mammalia; Artiodactyla; Balaenopteridae
Exons: 3
Source: RefSeq, a predicted model, not a curated record
CCGAGGGAAGAGGGGCCGGGAAUCUCCCAGGAGCAGCCAAACGACUGAGAUGGAAAAAAGAUGGGAAGAUCCCUGGGCCCUCCGUUCGGUCCAGUAAGAAAAGUAUAAUAGUUUCAGGAAGGGACCGCAGACAAGACAGAGGGAGGGAAAUCAUCGAAGAAAUUCAAGAAAAUCAGCAGAACUUCCUUGUUGGAGUGAGUGGCAGGGGCCCACAGCACUUGGCAAACAGCGGGGUUGCUCCCGAGCGUGUGGGUGGGGACGAUCCUAAUCGCCCACCUGACCAGACAUCCACCCGAACGUGGGCUCUUCUCCGCUAUGGUCUGAAUGUGUGUCCUCCAAAAAUUCGUUGUUGAAGCCCUGACUCCGCCAAUGUGAUGGUGUUAGAAGGGGGGCCUUCCGGAGGUGAUGAGGUGAGGACACAGCGAGAAGACGCGGUCCAUGAACCAGAACGGGGGCCCUCACCAGACACCGACUCUGUUGAUCUUGGAUUCCCAGCCUCCAGAACUGUGAGAACUCAAGCCCCCCGGUCUGUGGCAUCCGUGACAGCAGCCCGGACGGACUUCGGCUCACCCCUGAGAUCCUACCAUUGAAAAAUUGGAACACAAAACCAUGUGCACUAGGAUUUCCCGCUGUGUACUCAGACGAGCUCUGAAGGAUGGGACAGCCUGAAGGAGGGAGGCACCUGUCUUCUGAAGAGACGGGCUCCUGGGAUCACCGCCGCUUUGGUCUCCCAUGGCCACGUGUGCGGUCAGGAGGGAGCGGCCCUGCGUGUGAAGUGCUGGGGCCGCCUGGCACGGCGGGCCCUAGAGCCGGGAGGCCACAGGAGGUGAGUGCCUCCCUGCUCCUGGGGCAUACGGGGGAGUCCUGCUGUUCCGGACCUCAGCUGCCCUUGGAUC